UACGUAGGCAGCGAGCGUUGUUCGGAGUUACUGGGCGUAAAGGGUGUGUAGGCGGUUGUUUAAGUUUGGUGUGAAAUCUCCCGGCUCAACUGGGAGGGUGCGCCGAAUACUGAAUAACUAGAGUGCGGGAGGGGAAAGUGGAAUUCCUGGUGUAGCGGUGAAAUGCGUAGAUAUCAGGAGGAACACCGGUGGUGUAGACGGCUUUCUGGACCGUAACUGACGCUGAGACACGAAAGCGUGGGUAGCAAACAGG
RNAcentral lists this ribosomal RNA (253 nucleotides) under uncultured bacterium. RNAcentral describes it as "partial 16S ribosomal RNA". It matches the Rfam family "Bacterial small subunit ribosomal RNA", at positions 524 to 776 of the family's 1533-position model. The record is from RNAcentral.